UAUGUAUACAAACUACGUAUAUAAUAUGACGUCACAAAGCUAACGGCACCAUGGGGGAUUAGCUCAAAUGGUAGAGCGCUCGCUUAGCAUGCGAGAGGUAGCGGGAUCGAUGCCCGCAUCCUCCAAAGACACUUUUACUUUUGAGAAACGGGUGUAAUCGUCGCUUUUACACGUCCACCUGGUAUCGUAUUGUCAGGGCCAUGGCUCUGGUUCUUGUGCCUUACAAGAAUGACUGAACCGAAAUGACUGUCUCCCAGCUGGCCUGCUUUGUUGGAGAACAGAUCAUUAAAUCAUCAGCAUACUGCAGUAAUGAUGAACCACAUGAUGAGCUGGUUCCCUCUGUCAUUUCACCUUUGUUCCUGAGUGCGUUGAGCCAGAGCAGCAGCACAAGCCACAGUCUGCUGG
Long non-coding RNA from Seriola dumerili (greater amberjack), 405 nucleotides. RefSeq lists it as uncharacterized. The transcript has 4 exons. NCBI's taxonomy places the organism in Eukaryota, Metazoa, Chordata, Actinopteri, Carangiformes, Carangidae. The record is from RefSeq and is a predicted model, not a curated record.